GGUCUAUUCGUUUAUCGGUAAGGAUGUAGCCCUGUCACGGCUAAGAGCCGGGUUCAACUCCCGGAUAGACCGCCA
RNAcentral lists this transfer RNA (75 nucleotides) under Lachnospiraceae bacterium. RNAcentral describes it as "tRNA-Asp". It matches the Rfam family "tRNA". From Rfam's summary of the family: Transfer RNA (tRNA) molecules are approximately 80 nucleotides in length. Their secondary structure includes four short double-helical elements and three loops (D, anti-codon, and T loops). Further hydrogen bonds mediate the characteristic L-shaped molecular structure. tRNAs have two regions of fundamental functional importance: the anti-codon, which is responsible for specific mRNA codon recognition, and the 3' end, to which the tRNAs corresponding amino acid is attached (by aminoacyl-tRNA synthetases). tRNAs cope with the degeneracy of the genetic code in two manners: having more than one tRNA (with a specific anti-codon) for a particular amino acid; and 'wobble' base-pairing, i.e. permitting non-standard base-pairing at the 3rd anti-codon position. RNAcentral also lists the same sequence under 1 other name. Lineage: Bacteria; Bacillati; Bacillota; Clostridia; Lachnospirales; Lachnospiraceae. The record is from RNAcentral.